Molecule: ribosomal RNA, 2127 nt
Filed under: Triticum aestivum (bread wheat)
Lineage: Eukaryota; Viridiplantae; Streptophyta; Magnoliopsida; Poales; Poaceae
Description: partial small subunit ribosomal RNA
Source: RNAcentral
GUUCAGCUCCUUCACUGGUAGACGAGACGAGAGGACUAGAGGAGCUGAGGAGGCGGAGGGUUGGUUGGUGCGGGCCGCACAGACGGGCGGACGUCGCUAACGGCGGUACGGGCUUCUACGGCGCGGUUAUCGGGGGCGGGGGCGAAGACUAGGAUGGCGACCAAGAUCACUACUACUCUAUUGUCAUCUCCUACGAAGAAAACGCGCAUGACUUGAGGGGGUUCUACCGUCAGGGGUGGACAGCAUUGUUGACUAUACCUUCAAGAGGUACUAUUUCAAUUCUUCGUUCAGUAAUUUCUUCCGGUACCCUUCUAUGGGAGUUUUAAAAGAUGCACGAAACACGUAAUGUCUCGUACCCAUGUUUCGAGAUACGUAUUUAAACUCCUAUGGACCGUUCUUGUCGUAGGUCAACUUUAACAGUAGCCUUUUCCCGACAUUCUAAGUCUAAGCCUGAAUAAAACCAUUAUAAGACCAAAAGAUCACCAUACUCCAACUAAAAUUCUCCCUUCCAAUAAUUUCAUCAAUCAAAUAAUAAUCAGGUGGUCAACCAACGAUCAGUGUGGAAUGGAACGAUAACAUUAUUUUAGAAUAUAUAGAUUUAUCGAUCAGGGGUGAUUCUAUAAAGAGAGUUGUACGUUCGUACGGUGGAGUAGUAAGUUGUACGUAUUCUUUUCCGGGUGGAGUUGUACGUUGAUACGUAUAAUUUUUAGGUGAUGCUGUACGUACGUACAUUUUUAAAGUAAAAAAUACGAUAAAUGUAAAUUAAGAAUAUAUGAAAGUCUUUGAUAACAAAGUUCUUAAGUACAAGGUAUAUUAGUUUUAGAGUAACUUUAUAACGUUUGUAAGGGCGUUGUUGCACGCCCCGUAGUAGAUCAAACUUCUCAAACGUAAGCGUAAUGAAAAUAUUUUAGUGAACGAUCGACUCACAUAGUUUAUUGAUAGUUUCCGUUAACGGACACAUCAUUAAAACUUCAUAAGACAAAAGUAGAUGUCUCUUUUUCGUUUACAGACCAAACCCAUAACCACAACCAGUGUACUUUUCACCCCUUGCACGUGACAACGUACAAUCGACCCUCGAUCCGAUACCCUUUCUUCCUUCGAAAAGUAAGGGCUUACAGGGAGGUAGUCGUCUGGAAUAUAUACUUCAACUUGAGUAACCAAAACUACUACGAUUUCUCCCUUUUCGAGCAUCACUGUACUGCCAUCUUCUCUCCUAACUUCGUCGCCUAUCCUCCUUCGAACUCCCGUUGCUAAUGAAAUUUCUCUUCUUUAAACUCCUCCGAUACGUCGUUAUACUCUACCGACAACGCAUAUACCCUCUACUAAAGUACAAAGUCAACAAACCCUUCAUGUCUCUAUACCGAAACCGACACUUUUUGGGCACGGUAGAGUUGUACCGACGAACGGACUAGUUUGUUUUCUCUAAACUGCUUCGAUAGCGUGUCACAUCGUAACACGACAGUCUCCUGCUUUGGUUGCACUUUCGCGACAAGUCUGCACCUUUUCGAUCUCGGCUCGAACCUGUCUGUCUUAGUCGCUCCCUCCUGAAGGACUUUCGGUUCUUUGUGAGGGGCCUUCUGUUCCUCUAGUACGCCCUCGAAGCCAGCGACCGCCUUGUUCUAUUUCGCUACAUGGUCUUCGUCUCCCUCGAUAUGUUUCCAGACAAACCCGGCUCCGGAGUCGGGUUUGGAUUCCGGUUUUUAAAGCGGCAGGAGAAGACCGUCACCGACCACAGUGACCAGGCAAUAGAACGGUCCUACAAGUGCGCGUUCUUACUGAUCCUUCCAGGCACACUCAGAUCAACUGAGACUACGUUCACGAUGACUGCUGUAUGGCUGUGCUGUUCCCUUUUGGACUACUAUAUAGAUAUCGAACACCAAUUCUCUGUUGGAAGAAGAUAUAUAUGAACUCAUAUUAACAAAACCAUACCUCAAAACGGCCCGUGAAACCUGACCUCCCCUACCAGAGAAACACAAACAAUACUUCUAACCUUGACGUCAAAGUCAAAGUCUUAGGUGAACCUAUUGUCACUAAGUGGCCCUUCCGUCUCACAAGUCCCGGAUUCUAGAUCGUAUAGAGCACAACAUAAUGAUGACAAAUGUUCCUGUACUAAGACCACUCGGACGA